GAUGAACGCUGGCGGCGUGCUUAACACAUGCAAGUCGAACGAAGCGAUCAGGAGGAAAUUUUCGGAUGGAAUCCGGAUUGACUGAGUGGCGGACGGGUGAGUAACGCGUGGGUAACCUGCCUCAUACAGGGGGAUAACAGUUAGAAAUGACUGCUAAUACCGCAUAAGCGCACGGGGAUGCAUAUCUUUGUGUGAAAAACUCCGGUGGUAUGAGAUGGACCCGCGUCUGAUUAGCUAGUUGGUGAGGUAACGGCUCACCAAGGCGACGAUCAGUAGCCGACCUGAGAGGGUGACCGGCCACAUUGGGACUGAGACACGGCCCAA
Molecule: ribosomal RNA, 324 nt
Filed under: uncultured bacterium
Lineage: Bacteria
Description: bacterial SSU rRNA
Rfam family: Bacterial small subunit ribosomal RNA
Source: RNAcentral